AUGGUCCACACUGCUCAAACAUCUUUAAAGGUAGCUUAUCAGUGUCUUAAGAAGCAGUCUUUAGUCCAGCUCUCAGAGAUGGGGUUAGUGGCUCUCCUGCUGUCGAUGCUGCUGUUCUGGGUACCAGGACAAAAGGCCACCAUCUCCUGCAGGGCCAGGGAGAGUGUCAAUAAAUUUGGCAUAAAUCUUAUGCAUUGGUAUCAACAGAAACCAGGACAGCCUCCCAAACUCCUGAUGUUUAAUGUGUACAGUCUAGAGUCUGGGAUCCCUGCCAGGUUCAGUGGUGAUGAGGAUGAAUUAAACUUCCCCCUCACCAUCCAUCCUGUGGAAGCUGAUGAUGUUGCAACCUACUAUUGUCAGCAAGGACUAACACUUGCUCUCACAGCCCUCUAA
Molecule: non-coding RNA, 393 nt
Organism: Psammomys obesus (fat sand rat)
Lineage: Eukaryota; Metazoa; Chordata; Mammalia; Rodentia; Muridae
Source: the annotation of a RefSeq genome assembly